GUACAACAAAUCAAUUCUCCACAAGAACACGGCUUGAAGAGGUAAAAGGAUUCUUCAGCUCUUUGAAAGAAAAUGGUUCUCAGCUCCGUUGUGUCCAACAGACAAUUGAAACCAUUGAAGAAAACAUCGGUUGGAUGGAUAAGAAUUUUGAUAAAAUCAGAGUGUGGCUGCAAAGUGAAAAGCUUGAACAUGAUCCUGAAGCUGACGCAACAGGAUGAAAAUCCAUCAGAAUCUCAGACUACAGCACUAAAUAUGCUUUGAUGCUACAUCAAACGGAAUGGAAGCAUAGCUGACUUCGCUAAAGUUACUUCAUCUCCAUCUAGCAAAUGAGGCACUGUUCUCAACCAAAGGAGAUGGGGAUCUGGUUUAGGGCAAUCCCUUUAUAAUUUGAUGUGCUGUGGUCUCCUUGGUAAUGUAUAAUUUGGUAUUGCACAGGUGAUUAGUCAAGGAAGUCUGGAAAAGCUUUGGUCCCACAGCCUUGCCUCACAGCAUGUAAAUAAUUAAAACAAUAUUGAUGCUGAGGUUCUUCUACUGCUAGUAUGAAAGUGACAAAUUUUUACUGGUGUGAAUUGGGAAGAAAACAAUGCUAUUCCAUGACGUUUGUAAAAUGUUUGUAAAAGCUCAAACAUGACGAUUCCAUAAAAUAAACUUGAGGUUAAAUAAUGGGUAGUAAAUUAUAGAAUGUAUAAG
Molecule: long non-coding RNA, 690 nt
Filed under: Homo sapiens (human)
Lineage: Eukaryota; Metazoa; Chordata; Mammalia; Primates; Hominidae
Description: HSALNT0091810
Source: RNAcentral